AUUGAACGCUGGCGGCAUGCCUUACACAUGCAAGUCGAACGGUAACAGGUCUUCGGAUGCUGACGAGUGGCGAACGGGUGAGUAAUACAUCGGAACGUGCCUAGUAGUGGGGGAUAACUACUCGAAAGAGUGGCUAAUACCGCAUGGGAUCUACGGAUGAAAGCAGGGGAUCGCAAGACCUUGUGCUACUAGAGCGGCCGAUGGCAGAUUAGGUAGUUGGUGGGAUAAAAGCUUACCAAGCCGACGAGCUGUAGCUGGUCUGAGAGGACGAUCAGCCACACUGGGACUGAGAAACGGCCCAGACUCCUACGGGAGGCAGCAGUGGGGAAUUUUGGACAAUGGGCGAAAGCCUGAUCCAGCAAUGCCGCGUGCAAGAUGAAGGCCUUCGGGUUGUAAACUGCUUUUGUACGGAACGAAAAGCCCCGGGUUAAUACCCUGGGGUCAUGACGGUACCGUAAGAAUAAGCACCGGCUAACUACGUGCCAGCCGCCGCAGUAA
RNAcentral lists this ribosomal RNA (498 nucleotides) under uncultured bacterium. Its description in RNAcentral is "partial 16S ribosomal RNA". It matches the Rfam family "Bacterial small subunit ribosomal RNA", at positions 30 to 523 of the family's 1533-position model. The record is from RNAcentral.